RNAcentral lists this ribosomal RNA (490 nucleotides) under uncultured bacterium. RNAcentral's name for it is "partial 16S ribosomal RNA". It matches the Rfam family "Bacterial small subunit ribosomal RNA", at positions 28 to 507 of the family's 1533-position model. The record is from RNAcentral.
GAUGAACGCUAGCUACAGGCUUAACACAUGCAAGUCGAGGGGCAGCAUGGUCUUAGCUUGCUAAGGCCGAUGGCGACCGGCGCACGGGUGAGUAACACGUAUCCAACCUGCCGUCUACUCUUGGACAGCCUUCUGAAAGGAAGAUUAAUACAAGAUGGCAUCAUGAGUCCGCAUGUUCACAUGAUUAAAGGUAUUCCGGUAGACGAUGGGGAUGCGUUCCAUUAGAUAGUAGGCGGGGUAACGGCCCACCUAGUCUUCGAUGGAUAGGGGUUCUGAGAGGAAGGUCCCCCACAUUGGAACUGAGACACAGUCCAAACUCCUACGGGAGGCAGCAGUGGGGAAUAUUGGUCAAUGGGCGCAGGCCUGAACCAGCCAAGUAGCGUGAAGGAUGACUGCCCUAUGGGUUGUAAACUUCUUUUAUAAAGGAAUAAAGUCGGGUAUGUAUACCCGUUUGCAUGUACUUUAUGAAUAAGGAUCGGCUAACUCCGUG